CCUACGGGCGGCAGCAGUGAGGAAUAUUGGUCAAUGGACGAGAGUCUGAACCAGCCAAGUAGCGUGAAGGAUGACUGCCCUAUGGGUUGUAAACUUCUUUUAUAUGGGAAUAAAAUGUUCCACGUGUGGGCUUUUGUAUGUACCAUAUGAAUAAGGAUCGGCUAACUCCGUGCCAGCAGCCGCGGUAAUACGGAGGAUGCGAGCGUUAUCCGGAUUUAUUGGGUUUAAAGGGUGCGCAGGCGGAUUUUUAAGUCAGCGGUCAAAUCGUGGGGCUCAACCCCAUCCAGCCGUUGAAACUGGGGAUCUAGAGUGUGCGAGAGGUAUGCGGAAUGCGUGGUGUAGCGGUGAAAUGCAUAGAUAUCACGCAGAACCCCGAUUGCGAAGGCAGCAUACCGGUGCACAACUGACGCUCAGGCACGAAAGCGUGGGUAUCGAACAGGAUUAGAUACCCUUGUAGUC
RNAcentral lists this ribosomal RNA (459 nucleotides) under uncultured bacterium. RNAcentral's name for it is "partial 16S ribosomal RNA". It matches the Rfam family "Bacterial small subunit ribosomal RNA", at positions 338 to 795 of the family's 1533-position model. The record is from RNAcentral.